ACGAACGCUGGCGGCAUGCCUAACACCUGCAAGUCGAACGAGACCUUCGGGUCUAGUUGCGCACGGGUGCGUAACGCGUGGGAACCUGCCCUUAGGUUCGGAAUAACUCCCCGAAAGGGGUGCUAAUACCGGAUAAUGUCUUCGGACCAAAGAUUUAUCGCCUUUGGAUGGGCCCGCGUUGGAUUAGCUAGUUGGUAGGGUAAAAGCCUACCAAGGCGACGAUCCAUAGCUGGUCUGAGAGGAUGAUCAGCCACACUGGGACUGAGACACGGCCCAGACUCCUACGGGAGGCAGCAGUGGGGAAUAUUGGACAAUGGGCGAAAGCCUGAUCCAGCAAUGCCGCGUGAGUGAUGAAGGCCUUAGGGUUGUAAAGCUCUUUUACCCGGGAUGAUAAUGACAGUACCGGGAGAAUAAGCUCCGGCUAACUCCGUG
Molecule: ribosomal RNA, 432 nt
Filed under: uncultured bacterium
Lineage: Bacteria
Description: partial 16S ribosomal RNA
Rfam family: Bacterial small subunit ribosomal RNA
Source: RNAcentral